GGAUUCUUAACCAAGGAAGAAAAGAAGCAGAUCCUGGGGCAGAAGAGAGGAAGCUGAGGAAGGACAGCAAGUAUGCCUCUUCCUGCUAAACCUGUGGAGUCAGCUGGUGUGUGUUGGUAGCUACUCUAUGCUGAUGGGAGUGUGAAGAAAGGGUCACCUUAUGCCCUGUGAAUGGGACAUCAGGAGUCCAAAGAGAGGAAAAGUCCAGAGAGGCAGGGACAGCAUGGCACCAGGUGGCUGGAGAGGGAAGAUGAGAGAUCACAUUUCAACCACAAUCAGGAAGCAGAGAGAG
Molecule: long non-coding RNA, 292 nt
Organism: Nannospalax galili (Upper Galilee mountains blind mole rat)
Lineage: Eukaryota; Metazoa; Chordata; Mammalia; Rodentia; Spalacidae
Exons: 4
Source: RefSeq, a predicted model, not a curated record